Molecule: ribosomal RNA, 266 nt
Filed under: uncultured archaeon
Lineage: Archaea
Description: partial 16S ribosomal RNA
Rfam family: Archaeal small subunit ribosomal RNA
Source: RNAcentral
AGUCACUGACAUUAGAUACCCCGGUAGUCCAGGGUGUAAACGCUGCAGACUUUGGUGUUGGGGGCCCUUUGGGGGCAUUCAGUGCCGGAGAGAAGUUGUUAAGUCUGCUACUUGGGGGAGUACGUCCGCAAGGAUGAAACUUAAAGGAAUUGGCGGGGAGCACCGCAACGGGAGGAGCGUGCGGUUUAAUUGGAUUCAACACCGUAAAACUCACCAGGGAAGACUGUUACAUGAAGGCCGAGAUGAAGACUCUGCUAGAUUUUCAG